AACGAACGCUGGCGGCGUGCCUAACACAUGCAAGUCGAGCGCGAAUGGAGCAAUCCUAGUAGAGCGGCGCACGGGUGCGUAACACGUGGGUAAUCUGCCUGGAAGACCGGAACAACCUGCCGAAAGGCUGGCUAAUGCCGGAUAAGCCUACGGGGUCUUCGGAUCCUGAAGGAAAAGGUGGCCUCUGUAUACAAGCUAUCACUUCCAGAUGAGCCCGCGGCCCAUCAGCUAGUUGGCGGGGUAACGGCCAACCAAGGCUACGACGGGUAGCUGGUCGGAGAGGACGAUCAGCCACGCUGGAACUGAGACACGGUCCAGACUCCUACGGGAGGCAGCAGUGGGGAAUUUUGCACAAUGGGCGAAAGCAUGAGGCAGCAACGCCGCGUGUGUGAUGAAGGUCUUCGGAUCGUAAAGCACUUUCGACCGGGACGAACAACCUCUGGCUAACAUCCAGGGGCCUGACGGUACCGGGAGAAGAAGCACCGGCUAACUCUGUGCCAGCCGCCGCCGUAA
RNAcentral lists this ribosomal RNA (513 nucleotides) under uncultured bacterium. Its description in RNAcentral is "partial 16S ribosomal RNA". It matches the Rfam family "Bacterial small subunit ribosomal RNA", at positions 29 to 523 of the family's 1533-position model. The record is from RNAcentral.